GUAAGCGUGCGCAGGCGGUUAUAUAAGACAGAUGUGAAAUCCCGGGCUCAACCUGGGAACUGCAUUUGUGACUGUAUAGCUGGAGUGCGGCAGAGGGGGAUGGAAUUCCGCGUGUAGCAGUGAAAUGCGUAGAUAUGCGGAGGAACACCGAUGGCGAAGGCAAUCCCCUGGGCCUGCACUGACGCUCAUGCACGAAAGCGUGGGGAGCAAACAGGAUUAGAUACCCUAGU
RNAcentral lists this ribosomal RNA (230 nucleotides) under uncultured bacterium. RNAcentral describes it as "partial 16S ribosomal RNA". It matches the Rfam family "Bacterial small subunit ribosomal RNA", at positions 563 to 791 of the family's 1533-position model. The record is from RNAcentral.